UACGUAGGGAGCAAGCGUUGUUCGGAAUGACUGGGCGUAAAGGGUGCGUAGGCGGUUGUACAAGUUAGAAGUGAAAUACCCAGGGCUUAACUCGGGUGCUGCUUCUAAAACUGUAUGACUUUGAGUGCAGUAGAGGUUAGUGGAAUUCCUAGUGUAGCGGUGGAAUGCGUAGAGUAUUAGGAGGAACACCAGAGGCGAAGGCGGCUAACUGGACUGCAACUGACGCUGAGGCACGAAAGUGUGGGGAGCAAACAGG
This 256-nucleotide ribosomal RNA is filed under the name uncultured bacterium. RNAcentral's name for it is "partial 16S ribosomal RNA". It matches the Rfam family "Bacterial small subunit ribosomal RNA", at positions 524 to 776 of the family's 1533-position model. The record is from RNAcentral.